CAGUAGCCGCGGGAAUACGUAGGGUGCGAGCGUUAAUCGGAAUUACUGGGCGUAAAGCGUGCGCAGGCGGUCGUGUAAGACAGGUGUGAAAUCCCCGGGCUUAACCUGGGAACUGCGCUUGUGACUGCACAGCUAGAGUAUGGCAGAGGGGGGUGGAAUUCCACGUGUAGCAGUGAAAUGCGUAGAGAUGUGGAGGAACACCGAUGGCGAAGGCAGCCCCCUGGGCCAAUACUGACGCUCAUGCACGAAAGCGUGGGGAGCAAACAGGAUUAGAUACCCGGGUAGUCCCUGUCUCUUAUAC
RNAcentral lists this ribosomal RNA (301 nucleotides) under uncultured bacterium. Its description in RNAcentral is "partial 16S ribosomal RNA". It matches the Rfam family "Bacterial small subunit ribosomal RNA", at positions 509 to 807 of the family's 1533-position model. The record is from RNAcentral.